This 472-nucleotide ribosomal RNA is filed under the name uncultured bacterium. RNAcentral's name for it is "bacterial SSU rRNA". It matches the Rfam family "Bacterial small subunit ribosomal RNA", at positions 329 to 793 of the family's 1533-position model. The record is from RNAcentral.
GCAGAGCAUCCUACGGGAGGCAGCAGUGGGGAAUAUUGCACAAUGGGCGCAAGCCUGAUGCAGCCAUGCCGCGUGUAUGAAGAAGGCCUUCGGGUUGUAAAGUACUUUCAGCAGUGAGGAAGGUGGAUAUGUUAAUAGCAUAUUCAUUUGACGUUAGCUGCAGAAGAAGCACCGGCUAACUCCGNGCCAGCAGCCGCGGUAAUACGGAGGGUGCGAGCGUUAAUCGGAAUUACUGGGCGUAAAAGCGCAUGCAGGUGGUUUGUUAAGUCAGAUGUGAAAGCCCGGGGCUCAACCUCGGAAUUGCAUUUGAAACUGGCAAACUAGAGUACUGUAGAGGGGGUAGAAUUUCAGGUGUAGCGGUGAAAUGCGUAGAGAUCUGAAGGAAUACCGGUGGCGAAGGCGGCCCCCUGGACAGAUACUGACACUCAGAUGCGAAAGCGUGGGGAGCAAACAGGAUUAGAUACCCUGGUAG